AUUGAUUACGACUUCCCUUCACCACAUUAUUUAGGACUGCGUCGUAGGAGACUGGGACACAUAUCCACUUUGCUGGCUUGAUGAAGUAAACUGCUAAGUUGAGGAAGCCCACAUGGCAAGGAACUGUGGGCAGCCUUCAGCCAACAGGCAGCAAAAAGCUGAGCUCCUCGGAGCUACAGCCUCAAGGAAGUUACUUCUGCUAACAACCUGAAAAAGCUUGGAAGCUAGUUUCUCUCUAGUGGAAUUUUUAGGGAAGAGCAUGGCCCAGGCAAGAUAAAUAAUGCAGGAAACUGCAUAUCUUCUGGUUUACAUGAAGAUGGAGUGCUAAUGGAAAUGCCCAAAACCUUCAGAGAUUGACACGCUGUCAUUUUCCAUUUCCAUUCCUGGAUCUACGGAGUCUUCUAAGAGAUUUUGCAAUGAGGAGAAGCAUUGUUUUCAAACUAUAUAACUGAGCCUUAUUUAUAAUUAGGGAUAUUAUCAAAAUAUGUAACCAUGAGGCCCCUCAGGUCCUGAUCAGUCAGAAUGGAUGCUUUCACCAGCAGACCCGGCCAUGUGGCUGCUCGGUCCUGGGUGCUCGCUGCUGUGCGAGACAUUAGCCCUUUAGUUAUGAGCCUGUGGGAACUUCAGGGGUUCCCAGUGGGGAGAGCAGUGGCAGUGGGAGGCAUCUGGGGGCCAAAGGUCAGUGGCAGGGGGUACUUCAGUAUUAUACAACUGCUGUGACCAGACUUGUAUACUGGCCGAAUAUCAGUGCUGUUUGUAAUUUUUCACUUUGAGAACCAACAUUAAUUCCAUAUGAAUCAAGUGUUUUGUAACUGCUAUUCAUUUAUUCAGCAAAUAUUUAUUGAUCAUCUCUUCUCCAUAAGAUAGUGUGAUAAACACAGUCAUGAAUAAAGUUAU
This 897-nucleotide long non-coding RNA is filed under the name Homo sapiens (human). RNAcentral's name for it is "long non-coding RNA NONHSAT191989.1". The record is from RNAcentral. Lineage: Eukaryota; Metazoa; Chordata; Mammalia; Primates; Hominidae.